GGAAAUGACUAUAUUCAAUGGAUUUUGUUUAUCAGAGACCAUAGAUUGUAGUUUAUGGGUCUUUUCAUCGAAGUUGUCAAUGUUCUGUGUAUAACAUUGUUACAGCAGUUUCCUGAACGGUUCUUUACAAUUAAGUUGUCUUGAUCUCUGAGGGACUGCAGUUGGAAGAGCAGAGAAGGUAAUUUGGCUUUCGAUCACCACAGUUUUCCAAAUGGGUAAUUCUUAGAAUGGGAUUGUCAAUGAUUCUGGUUGACUUCAGUUAAUAUUAGACUCUUCAUUAGGGUUGACAGGAUCUGCUUUGGGAACAGGGUAAGAAAGUCUAUGGGGAGACAAUCUGAAUAAAAAAGGAAUCCAAUAUUCUCUGUUUGGCAUAUGGAUGGUUUCCAAAACCUAUCCCUUUUAUGCCUUAUCCCUGUUAAAAGAUUAUAGUUAAUAAGCACUAAUAAGAAGAUAAGCAGUUUAAAAGGGUAGAAAUUGAUAUCAGCAAAAAAUUUACCAAAAUAUACCAAAAUGAUAAAAUAGUAAAAUAAUUGUUGUUGAUUGAGUGAAAAAGACCAAUAUAAUAAAUAUGAUCAGCUUCGAAAUCAUGAGAAAGAAUAAAAUGAUUAGCCCAAGCAGGUAGGGGCAAGUUUCCUGGGGCUAAGGUGGCUGCUUAACAGGUCUCUAGAGUCUAGGUUUGCCUGUCAGGGGUCAGCAUAGACAUUACCAACUAUAAUAAAGUUUGGGCUAAUGAGCAAACAGCAGCUUUAGUUGCUUUCCUUAGAGCUUUAAGCCUUAAGAACCAAUGCUUAGCUCAGCAGUGUCAGUAUGCCUUUUAAAAAGUUGCCAUUUGCGUAAGUUGAAUCUGACAUUUUAUGUGUUUUAUAGCAGACCAUAAAUACUUUUAACUUUAUAAAUAAUAAAACUAUGAAUGGGAUAAAUACUCAAUAGCAUUAUUAAUGGGUUUUCAACCUAGGGACCAUGAGUGACAACUUGCCUAUAAAGCAGUUAUAUAUAGUUUUUGUUUAGUUUAAACUGUGGUUCUAUUUGUUUACACAUUAAAUUUGCCAACCUGAAAAUUAUAAAAUUUUUAUUAUUUCCUCUUAAUUUAUGAAAAAAAUUGCUGAGCUUACAUUUAAGUCAACAUUACCUGGAAUCAGUAGAAUAGGAAUUGCAUUUCUUCAUUCCUCUUUGGGAAUAUUUGCCACCUGGCACUGAUAUAAUGAAUUCAUAUACAAUUCAUAGACUGGGGAUUGGACGAACUUAUGAAGCCCGUUAUUCAAUACUCUAUGAAGAAACUGAGGUCUGACAAGUGUGACCUGAAGCCAUUUCCUUGUGUAUUUUAAACCUUUCAAUUUGAAGUGGAUUAUGAGAGACAACUGGGAGCAUCCAGACUCAAGAGCUGUGUGGAGGGAUCUUUGCUGUGAUCCCUCUGACAACACAGGUAAUCACUCAUAAAGAAAACCACCUCACAAAUAGAACUCACCUUUUGGCCUCAGUUGGAUAGCUGAAGUAAAAAUCUUUGUCUGGUACCACUGUAAAUGUUCCAACAAUAUGCCCAAAAUAAAUCAUUUAAUUGAACAUGA
Long non-coding RNA from Herpailurus yagouaroundi (jaguarundi), 1565 nucleotides. RefSeq lists it as uncharacterized. Lineage: Eukaryota; Metazoa; Chordata; Mammalia; Carnivora; Felidae. The transcript is spliced from 2 exons. The record is from RefSeq and is a predicted model, not a curated record.